This 330-nucleotide RNase P RNA is filed under the name chicken gut metagenome. Its description in RNAcentral is "Bacterial RNase P class B". It matches the Rfam family "Bacterial RNase P class B". From Rfam's summary of the family: Ribonuclease P (RNase P) is a ubiquitous endoribonuclease, found in archaea, bacteria and eukarya as well as chloroplasts and mitochondria. Its best characterised activity is the generation of mature 5'-ends of tRNAs by cleaving the 5'-leader elements of precursor-tRNAs. The record is from RNAcentral.
ACAAACGCUGUAUGAACAAUAUAGAGGAAAGUCCACGCUCGCACUAUCCUGUGAUGGUAGUAGUGUUUGUGCUUAGGGAAAAAAUAACCUAAGGCAAGUUUAACUUGACGGCGUUGUUUUUAUCUAAAGAUUUAUCCAUGAUAAAAACGACAUAAAGUGCCACAGAGACGAAUCUUUUAGGAAACUAAAAGGGUGAAACGAGGUAAACCCCGCAAGCGAGAAACCCAAAUUUGGUAGGGGAACUAUCCGAAGGGAAUUAGAACUAACGGAUGGAUGAAGAAAUUCAUAGAUAAAUGUUUGUCGCCUUUUAGGUACAAAACGUGGCUUAUU